UACGUAGGGUGCAAGCGUUAAUCGGAAUUACUGGGCGUAAAGCGUGCGCAGGCGGUCAUGCAAGACAGAUGUGAAAUCCCCGGGCUUAACCUGGGAACCGCAUUUGUGACUGCAUGGCUUGAGUGCGGCAGAGGGGGAUGGAAUUCCGCGUGUAGCAGUGAAAUGCGUAGAUAUGCGGAGGAACACCGAUGGCGAAGGCAAUCCCCUGGGCCUGCACUGACGCUCAUGCACGAAAGCGUGGGGAGCAAACAGG
Molecule: ribosomal RNA, 253 nt
Filed under: uncultured bacterium
Lineage: Bacteria
Description: partial 16S ribosomal RNA
Rfam family: Bacterial small subunit ribosomal RNA
Source: RNAcentral